RNAcentral lists this transfer RNA (76 nucleotides) under Acidimicrobiales bacterium. RNAcentral's name for it is "tRNA-Ile". It matches the Rfam family "tRNA". From Rfam's summary of the family: Transfer RNA (tRNA) molecules are approximately 80 nucleotides in length. Their secondary structure includes four short double-helical elements and three loops (D, anti-codon, and T loops). The record is from RNAcentral. Lineage: Bacteria; Bacillati; Actinomycetota; Acidimicrobiia; Acidimicrobiales. RNAcentral also lists the same sequence under 2 other names.
GGGGCAGUAGCUCAGUGGUCAGAGCAGGGGACUCAUAAUCCCUCGGUCGCAGGUUCGAUCCCUGCCUGCCCCACCA